CCUACGGGUGGCUGCAGUGGGGAAUAUUGGGCAAUGGGCGCAAGCCUGACCCAGCAACGCCGCGUGAAGGAAGAAUGCUCUCGGGUUGUAAACUUCUUUUCUAAGGGACGUAGAAAGUGACGGUACCUUAGGUAUAAGCUCCGGCUAACUACGUGCCAGCAGCCGCGGCAAUACGUAGGGAGCGAGCGUUAUCCGGAUUUACUGGGUGUAAAGGGCGUGUAGGCGGGAUGGCAAGUCAGGCGUGAAAACUAGGGGCUCAACCCAUAGCCUGCGUUUGAUACUGUCGUUCUUGAGUGAAGGUGAGGCAGGCGGAAUUCCGGGUGUAGCGGUGAAAUGCGUAGAUAUACGGAGGAACACCAGUGGCGAAGGCGGCUUGCUAAACAGUAACUGACGCUGAGGCGCGAAAGCGUGGGGAGCAAACAGGAUUAGAUACCCGUGUAGUC
This 443-nucleotide ribosomal RNA is filed under the name uncultured bacterium. RNAcentral's name for it is "partial 16S ribosomal RNA". It matches the Rfam family "Bacterial small subunit ribosomal RNA", at positions 338 to 795 of the family's 1533-position model. The record is from RNAcentral.